Zingiber officinale is the source of this 917-nucleotide long non-coding RNA. RefSeq lists it as uncharacterized. Lineage: Eukaryota; Viridiplantae; Streptophyta; Magnoliopsida; Zingiberales; Zingiberaceae. The transcript is spliced from 4 exons. The record is from RefSeq and is a predicted model, not a curated record.
GAAAGCACUUACCUAGCAUUCCACGCUGUUCAAAGCCUAGCCUGUUUUUGAUCGUCUCUCCGCUGCCUCCUCCGUUUCAUAACUCCGCGCUUAGGGUUUACGUGGCUGCUCCUCCUCCUCGCCUUUUUGAUCUUCUCCGUCUUCACUUUCUUCUUCCGCAGCCUUCCAGUCUUGCAUCAUGCUCUUCCUGCCUUCUUCAUCAAUCCGGGAGAGAAGCCUUGGGCAGAGCGGGCAAGCACCUUUUCCGGCCAUGGCAUAUCUAAACAUGGGCGAGGCGCACCGCCGCAUCACGGACUACCUUUUUCGGUUUUGUGAUGUCGUCUCGUCCUAGAAUGCCACUACCCUCUCCGCCAUCUCCUCCAACUUCGCGUCCCUCCAGGCUCCUGCAAACGCCCUCGAUGUCUUCUAGGAUUCAAAUCAGUUGGUGAACCAGGCGGAGAGGUACGCCUAGUUUGUAGAAAUUCUCUCCCCCCUUCUCCGCUGUCUCCAAAGUUACCGACUUGGCCAAUACUUCGACUCAUAUGUUGCCUUUGAGAAGGCUGCAAAUGCUUUCUUACAGGAAUUUCGAAACUGGGAGACUGCGUGGGCUAUGGAAGCUGUGUAUAUUUUGGCUCUUGAAAUUCAGUUGCUUGCGGAGAAGUAUUUCAGGGCUUAGCCGAAUGCAUGUGAACCAUCCUGCUUACCAAGAUAUCAGCCCAACAAAGAAAUCGAUGCAAAGAGUGAUGCAAAACUAAUCAUAUUUGUUAAUUUCAAAAUCGAGUUUGACUCUGCUACUCCUUUGUAUUCCUUACAUGACUAGUUUUGCUUAAGUUCUAAAAGUUCUAUUUGGUACAGGGAUGUCUCUUUCUCCUUUUCACUUCAACCACUGAAAUGUAUUUUCCUUUCACUGAUUGGAUUAAUGAAAAUCCUUAUCUCAA